RNAcentral lists this ribosomal RNA (253 nucleotides) under uncultured bacterium. Its description in RNAcentral is "partial 16S ribosomal RNA". It matches the Rfam family "Bacterial small subunit ribosomal RNA", at positions 524 to 776 of the family's 1533-position model. The record is from RNAcentral.
UACGUAGGGUGCGAGCGUUGUCCGGAAUUAUUGGGCGUAAAGGGCUCGUAGGCGGUUUGUCGCGUCGGGAGUGAAAACACCGGGCUUAACUCGGUGCUUGCUUUCGAUACGGGCAGACUAGAGGUAUGCAGGGGAGAACGGAAUUCCUGGUGUAGCGGUGAAAUGCGCAGAUAUCAGGAGGAACACCGGUGGCGAAGGCGGUUCUCUGGGCAUUACCUGACGCUGAGGAGCGCAAGUGUGGGGAGCGAACAGG